Molecule: long non-coding RNA, 456 nt
Organism: Antechinus flavipes (yellow-footed antechinus)
Lineage: Eukaryota; Metazoa; Chordata; Mammalia; Dasyuromorphia; Dasyuridae
Exons: 5
Source: RefSeq, a predicted model, not a curated record
CUAAGUUGGAAAGCCCAGCAUGAUCCUGCAGAGGCUUGUGGAGAAAAAGAAGGAGGCAAGGAAUGAAUGACUUCAACGACAAGCCAGAUCAUUCAAAUGAAAAUCAUCCCAAUAAAUUCUGAUGCCCAACAAAUGUGAUGGAAGGAAACCAUUCUCUGCCAGGAUCACAAAGAUAUCAUGGAGAAGGAAGUAUGCCUUGAAAGAAUGGAAGAAGUGCUUCUACUAGGAAGAAAGGUGUGGAGAAGCAAAGGGGGAUCCUAAACUUUGUCACAACUUUGGAAAAUACUGGUCCCAAGAGGAAUCCAGACAAGACAUUUCUAGAUUGGGAAUGCUUUCCAGGGCAUGUACAGAAAUUCAGGUUUCUUAUACAUGAAGGACUGAAUGCCGAAGGCCAAAAAACAGAGGAUGGCACCGAUCCACAGCAGGAUGGAGAAGCCCCCGAAAAGUUGACGGAAG